Long non-coding RNA from Paramisgurnus dabryanus, 322 nucleotides. RefSeq lists it as uncharacterized. The record is from RefSeq and is a predicted model, not a curated record. Lineage: Eukaryota; Metazoa; Chordata; Actinopteri; Cypriniformes; Cobitidae.
GGGUGAAGGUGUUGGUUCACGAAUUAAUUCGAGUGUCUGGUGCACGUGUGUCUGCAGCCUUCCGGUAUAAGGUUGGGAUGAAACUAGUGCAGUUCGCCCAAACCUCAGAGGAGGCCUGUAAACUUGUGAGGCAGGCAAUGUUUGUGAAGAUGAUGAAUCUCCACCGGAAACAGGAUUGGGGGAAAAAGUUGGACAACCUCCACAGGUUCAUCAGGAGGUUUCCCUCCAUAUUUUUCAUCAUUGAACCCCAUCAUAUUUUAUACGGUAUUGAGGAUCACGAGAACCCUCUACUGGAUGUUCUUCCCCCACCUGCUCAGCUUGU